GGAAAAACGGUCUAUUUCCCCA
This 22-nucleotide small nuclear RNA is filed under the name Arabidopsis thaliana (thale cress). RNAcentral describes it as "snRNA_03510". The record is from RNAcentral. Lineage: Eukaryota; Viridiplantae; Streptophyta; Magnoliopsida; Brassicales; Brassicaceae.